AAUAAUGCCUAUUUACGAGAGAUAACUUUUAAAUAAAGUAGAUAACUGCGGUUAUCGACUGAAAUAUCGAUAUUAGAGAGAACCCGUUUAUUAUUUGAGAGAGAGAGAGAGUAGGAUAAAAACUCAUUAGAACCGUUCUUAGAAAAUAACAAAUGGCCGACGUCUUAAAUUGUCAUCAAACUCGUUGAAUAAAAAUAGUGUUAAAUAAAUGAACGUUAUUCAAGAAAACUAAUAAAUCUUCACCCACAAGUUAUGUUAAAUAAUAAAAUAAAAUUAUCAUCACACUCACUGCGAAAAAGAAAGGAUUGGAGUUCAAUGUGGUAUCUGGAUUAUGGAUUGUCUCUUGUGUUCGGAGUACGAUCUAGUUUUCUGGGUUUUCUACAGGAUUCUUCUUACGGGAAAUGGAACUGUUUGUUCUUCGGAAAUAGGGUCUUGGAUGAUUUCGAAGAAGUAUCAGGAGUUCUCGGAAUAGGUUGUAGGAUGAUUCUCUUUUUAUUUUAUAUAUCACAUACAUUGGAGUACACGCCAAAUUUCAACAAUGAGUAAAGUUAAA
Non-coding RNA from Onthophagus taurus, 553 nucleotides. The record is from RefSeq and is a predicted model, not a curated record. NCBI's taxonomy places the organism in Eukaryota, Metazoa, Arthropoda, Insecta, Coleoptera, Scarabaeidae.